Molecule: ribosomal RNA, 510 nt
Filed under: uncultured Sphingobacteriales bacterium
Lineage: Bacteria; Pseudomonadati; Bacteroidota; Sphingobacteriia; Sphingobacteriales
Description: bacterial SSU rRNA
Rfam family: Bacterial small subunit ribosomal RNA
Source: RNAcentral
CUAUGCGCCUUGCCCAGCCCGCUCAGAAACUUAAAGGAAUUGACGGGGGCCCGCACAAGCGGAGGAACAUGUGGUUUUAAUUCGAUGAUACGCGAGGAACCUUACCUGGGCUUAAAUGGGGAGUGACAGCUGUCGAAAGAUGGUUUUCUUCGGACACUCUUCAAGGUGCUGCAUGGUUGUCGUCAGCUCGUGCCGUGAGGUGUCGGGUUAAGUCCCAUAACGAGCGCAACCCUUACCGUUAGUUACCAUCAGGUUAAGCUGGGGACUCUAGCGGGACUGCCACCGUAAGGUGAGAGGAAGGUGGGGAUGACGUCAAAUCAGCACGGCCCUUAUGUCCAGGGCUACACACGUGUUACAAUGGCCGGUACAAAGGGCAGCUACUUCGCGAGAAGAUGCUAAUCUCGAAAGCCGGUCUCAGUUCGGAUCGAAGUCUGCAACCCGACUUCGUGAAGCUGGAUUCGCUAGUAAUCGCGCAUCAGCCAUGGCGCGGUGAAUACGUUCCCGGGCCUU